This 472-nucleotide ribosomal RNA is filed under the name uncultured archaeon. RNAcentral describes it as "bacterial SSU rRNA". It matches the Rfam family "Archaeal small subunit ribosomal RNA", at positions 345 to 847 of the family's 1478-position model. The record is from RNAcentral.
AACCUCUGCAAUAAGCGAAAGCUUGACAGGGUUACUCUGAGUGAUUUCCGCUAAGGAAGUCUUUUGGCACCUUGGUGCAGAAUAAGGGGUGGCAAGCUGGUGUCAGCCGCCGCGGUAAUACCAGCACCCCGAGUGGUCGGGACGUUUAUUGGGCCUAAAGCAUCCGUAGCCGGUUCUACAAGUCUUCCGUUAAAUCCACCUGCUUAACAGAUGGGCUGCGGAAGAUACUAUAGAGCUAGGAGGCGGGAGAGGCAAGCGGUACUCGAUGGGUAGGGUAAAAUCCGUUGAUCCAUUGAAGACCACCAGUGGCGAAGGCGGCUUGCCAGAACGCCUCGACGGUGAGGGAUGAAAGCUGGGGGAGCAAACCGGAUUAGAUACCCGGGUAGUCCCAGCUGUAAACGAUGUAGACUCGGUGAUGGGCGGUGCCGCAGGGAAGCCGUUAAGUCUGCCGCCUGGGGAGUACGGUCGCAAG